AAAAGUUCGUUCGAUUUUUCCUUAAGAUUAUACGGGAAAACCCGAAGGAACUUUUUUG
Molecule: microRNA precursor, 58 nt
Organism: Bos indicus x Bos taurus (hybrid cattle)
Lineage: Eukaryota; Metazoa; Chordata; Mammalia; Artiodactyla; Bovidae
Source: Ensembl